AGCCUCAGGCUCUUCAAGGCCCUCCGUCAAGCAAUGAUGCCAUGGUCAUGGAUGAAAAGGUCAAGAAAAGCUUUGUGCUGGACACGGCUUCUGCCAUCUGCAACUACAAUGCCCACUACAAGAAUCACCCCAAAUACUGGUGCCGAGGCUAUUUCCGUGACUACUGCAACAUCAUCGCCUUCUCCCCUAACAGCACCAAUCAUGUGGCCCUGAGGGACACAGGGAACCAGCUCAUUGUCACUAUGUCCUGCCUGACCAAAGAGGACACGGGCUGGUACUGGUGUGGCAUCCAGCGGGACUUUGCCAGGGAUGACAUGGAUUUUACAGAGCUGAUUGUAACUGAUGACAAAGGAACCCUGGCCAAUGACUUUUGGUCUGGGAAAGACCUAUCAGGCAACAAAACCAGAAGCUGCAAGGCUCCCAAAGUUGUCCGCAAGGCUGACCGCUCCAGGACGUCCAUUCUCAUCAUUUGCAUACUGAUCACGGGUUUGGGAAUCAUCUCUGUAAUCAGUCAUUUGACCAAAAGGAGGAGAAGUCAAAGGAAUAGAAGGGUAGGCAACACUUUGAAGCCCUUCUCGCGUGUCCUGACUCCAAAGGAAAUGGCUCCUACUGAACAGAUGUGACUGAAGAUUUUUUUAAUUUAGUUCAUAAAGUGAUGCUACAACAGAAUAAUCACCAUGACAACUGGCCCACACCUCAGAGACUGAUUCUGAUCUCCCAGGAAUUCUGAAGGACCCUCUAUCCUUGACAACAAUCAUUUGCAGCCAGGUAGCAAUGGCGGUAGUCAGAGGAGCUAUGAUAGACCACACCCAAGCAAGGCUGCCCUCAAAUAACAUCUCAAGAUCUUAGUUCUUAUGCAUUCCAUCAGUCAGAAGUGAAGAAGAGGUGGAGAAUCUGGAUUGGGGACCAGGAAAUCACUUGUAUUUUGUUAGCCAAUAAAUUCCUAGCCAGUGUUGAAUGAA
This 962-nucleotide small RNA is filed under the name Pan troglodytes (chimpanzee). RNAcentral's name for it is "processed transcript". Lineage: Eukaryota; Metazoa; Chordata; Mammalia; Primates; Hominidae. The record is from RNAcentral.